This 1227-nucleotide long non-coding RNA is filed under the name Chrysolophus pictus (golden pheasant). Its description in RNAcentral is "lncRNA (ENSCPIG00010009540.1)". The record is from RNAcentral. Lineage: Eukaryota; Metazoa; Chordata; Aves; Galliformes; Phasianidae.
AUGUCCUGGUUGUGUCCCUUUGUCACCACUCCUCCUGGUGUCCCUUUGUCCUGGUUGUGUCCCUUUGUCACCACUCCUCCUGGUGUCCCUUUGUCCUGGUUGUUCCUUUGUCACCACUCCUCCUGGUGUCCCUUUGUCCUGGUUGUUCUUUUGUCACCAUUCCUCCUGCUGUCCCUUUGUCACCACCUCUCCUGGUGUCCCUUUCUCCCGCUGUGUCCCUUUGUCACCACUCCUCCUGGUUGUUCCUUUAUCACCACUCCUGCUGUCCCUUUGUCACUGUUCCUGCCGUCCCUUUGUCACCACACCUCCAGCUGUCCCUUUCUCCCACUGUGUCCUUUUGUCACCACUCCUCUCGGUUGUUCCUUUAUCACCACUCCUGGUGUCCCUUUGUCACCGCAUCUCCUGCCGUCCCUUUGUCCCGGUCGUCCCUUUGUCACCACACCUCCCAGCUGUCCCCUCUCACAGCACAAAGAAGUCGGAUCCACCGUGAUGGUGCAGGCUGCUGGUCCACACCUCCUCCUCCCUCCCAGCGCCGCGCAGCAUUCCCUGCAGCUCCUCCUGCAGCGCAGCCACGCAGCCCUCGGGGACGUCACCGUCACCGCUGUCACAGCAAUCCGUGGGGUAGGGGUGGACGACGAGGCGAAGGGAGGACAGGGGGUGGGUCCCCUCCAGCAGAACCUUCAGCCCCGUGGAGGACAGGUGGUUGCCGAAGAGGCCGAGGUAGGAGAGGAGGACGCAGAGCCUCAGAGGUGGCAGCAGGACGGGGAGGUGGGCGUCCCCGAGGUGGCACUCGGCCACGUCCAAAUGGCGGAGAGAGGAGGAGACGGCUGGGAGGAGGUGGAGGAAGUGGGCGCCCCCGAGGUGGCACUCGGCCACGUCCAAAUGGCGGAGAGAGGAGGAGACGGCUGGGAGGAGAUGGAGGAAGGGAGGGAGGAGGGAGGAGGAGAGGUCGUUGCCGCUCAGGUCAAGCUUCUUCAGGGCCGAGGCGUGAGGGCUGUGGGCCAGGAAGGUGAGGUCGCAGGGCUGGAGGUGGCAGAAGGGAAGCUCCAGGCUCUCCAGCGGGCGCUGCAGGGACCUGAGAUGGGUGGGGAGAAGCUGGGGGUCAAGGGAUGUGUCUUCUAUGGAGCCCCAAGAAACAAAAGCACAAAUUACCCGAAUAAAACCCAUAACCCGCGUCUCCAUGGCCAGCUGGUUGAGUUGGGAUCACCAAAACCCAUAACUCCAUAA